UCACAUUGGGCCCUGCAUAAAUAUGCAGACUUUAGCUGAUUAUGCAUUGAAUUUAUGCGAUCGCAUAAUCACGUUUUUCUGGAGGGACUAGGAAUUGUCUGUGUUC
This is a long non-coding RNA of Etheostoma cragini (Arkansas darter), 106 nucleotides long. RefSeq lists it as uncharacterized. The record is from RefSeq and is a predicted model, not a curated record. NCBI's taxonomy places the organism in Eukaryota, Metazoa, Chordata, Actinopteri, Perciformes, Percidae. The transcript is spliced from 3 exons.